Molecule: unclassified non-coding RNA, 250 nt
Filed under: plant metagenome
Description: partial contains small subunit ribosomal RNA, internal transcribed spacer 1, and 5.8S ribosomal RNA
Source: RNAcentral
GUAGGUGAACCUGCGGAAGGAUCAUUACUGAAUUGUCAACAAGAGUUGUUGCUGGUCCCCAGAUGGGGGCAUGUGCACGCUCUGUUAACACAUCCACUCACACCCUGUGCACCCUCUGCAGUUCUAUGGUUGGGGGGGACCUGUCCUCUCCUGCUGUGGUUCUGCAUCUUUACAUACACACUGUAACAAAGUCUCAUGGAAUGCAUGUCGCGUUUAACGCAAUAAAAUACAACUUUCAGCAACGGAUCUC